AUGAUGCUAACCGCACAGCAGCAAUUAACAGCAACAAAUAGUGGUGUCGAGAGCUACAACCCACCUGUUUCACCUCCGUCGGAUGAACCAAUUCCCAUCACUGUAGCUACCUCCCUACCGUCAAAUGUUACAGGGGCGACUGCUGACCCAUGCUACAUAUCUCUCCACCGUGGGCUCAGCAAUGGAAAGAAUCCGGACGGUGAGAGCAGCCCCGACGGCGACUGCGGGAACCAUAGCCCUGGCGAAGGCGGCGGCGGCAUGGGCCCUGGCCCCAGGAUCCCUGUUCCUGGCAGCGGCGACAACAUGGGGAAGUUCGGCGUGAGCGGAGGAGGUUGCUGGAACCCCGGCGAGAGGAGCGGGUAG
RNAcentral lists this ribosomal RNA (363 nucleotides) under Triticum aestivum (bread wheat). Its description in RNAcentral is "partial small subunit ribosomal RNA". The record is from RNAcentral. Lineage: Eukaryota; Viridiplantae; Streptophyta; Magnoliopsida; Poales; Poaceae.